RNAcentral lists this long non-coding RNA (2863 nucleotides) under Oryza sativa (Asian cultivated rice). RNAcentral describes it as "long non-coding RNA (OSAT_LNC001193)". Lineage: Eukaryota; Viridiplantae; Streptophyta; Magnoliopsida; Poales; Poaceae. The record is from RNAcentral.
CCAAGAGUUGGACCUGUCACACAAUUACUUGUUCGGAGGAAUACCAGAGGAAGUUGGAAAUCUCAUUAAUCUGAAAAACCUUAGCAUCUCAAACAACAGGUUGUCUGGCAACAUCCCAUCCUCUCUUGGCAAGUGUGUUGCUCUGGAGUCUCUUGAGAUGCAAAGCAACUUAUUAGUAGGAAGCAUACCAAAAUCUUUUGAGAAGUUGGUAGGCAUCUGGAAUAUGGAUAUUUCACAGAACAACUUGACUGGAAAAAUACCAGAUUUUCUUUCAAACUUCAGUUUACUAUAUGAUCUGAAUUUAUCAUUCAACAAUUUUGAAGGAGAAGUUCCAGCAGGUGGUAUUUUUCGUAAUGCUAGUGUGGUAUCAAUAGAAGGGAAUAAUGGCUUGUGUGCAAGAACAUCAAUGGGAGGUAUACCACUUUGCUCAGUACAGGUUCACAGGAAUAGGAGACACAAGUCUUUGGUUCUAGUCCUAAUGAUAGUAAUACCAAUUGUUUCUAUCACUAUCAUUCUAUUAAGUUUUGCUGCAUUUUUUUGGAGGAAGAGAAUGCAGGUUACUCCAAAAUUGCCACAAUGUAAUGAGCAUGUGUUUAAGAAUAUUACAUAUGAAAACAUUGCCAAGGCCACAAAUAAGUUUUCUUCAGAUAACUUAAUUGGAUCAGGAUCAUUUGCAAUGGUUUAUAAGGGUAAUUUGGAGCUUCAGGAAGAUGAAGUUGCCAUCAAGAUUUUUAAUCUUGGUACAUAUGGAGCACACAGAGGUUUCAUUGCAGAGUGUGAAACCCUAAGAAAUGUCCGCCAUCGAAAUCUUGUGAAAAUCAUCACUUUAUGUUCUUCAGUGGAUGCCACUGGGGCAGACUUCAAGGCUUUGGUGUUCCAAUACAUGCAGAACGGGAACUUAGACACGUGGCUACAUCCAAAGUCCCAAGAACUUAGCCAAGGAAAGGUUCUAACUAUUAGCCAAAGAGUUAAUAUUGCCUUGGAUGUGGCGUUUGCUUUAGAUUAUCUUCAUAACCAAUGUGCAACGCCACUAAUACAUUGUGACUUGAAGCCAAGCAAUAUUCUUUUGGAUCUUGAUAUGGUUGCAUAUGUCAGUGACUUUGGCCUAGCAAGAUUUGUGUACAAUAGAUUGACUGCACAUGAAGAUACCUCAACAAGUUUGGCUUGCCUAAAAGGGUCAAUUGGAUACAUCCCACCAGGUAAAUAGGCUUCCAAACUUUUGACUCAGUUUGUUCUUUAUAUACUUGUACAGAAAUUUUAAAAAAUAGAGCCUAGCCUUAUAGUUUUAUAAAAUUUAAUGCAGAGUACGGCAUGAGGAAAGAUAUCUCAACCAAGGGUGAUGUCUACAGUUUUGGAAUACUUUUGUUAGAAAUUAUAAUUGGGAGCAGGCCAACUGAUGAAAAAUUUAAUGGCAGCACAACCCUGCAUGAAUUUGUUCAUGGAGCAUUUCCCAAUAAUAUCUACGAGGUAGUUGAUCCAACCAUGCUACAAAAUGACCUUGUUGCAACCGAUGUGAUGGAGAAUUGUAUCAUUCCAUUGGUCAAAAUAGGCCUAUGUUGUUCUGUGCCACUGCCCAACGAACGACCAGAAAUGGGACAAGUUGCAACCAUGAUUCUUGAAAUCAAGCACGCGGCCUCAAACAGGCAUGUCAGAUUAAGCUAACAGCUGCCAGGUUCUAUUUCAUUUAUAGAAGAAUAUACCAAUAUAACAUCCACUGGAUAUUUCACUGUAAACGUAGUAUAGUUAAUGACCUCAUUAGAAGCUUGAAUGGUAGCCACAAUGCUUGCACAGGCAUCCCUAGUUUUUGAAUGUUGAAACCUUUUAUGGUUUAUAUUGUGCGACUUACUUGUUCAUCCUCUAAUCACUAUGAAGAAACAUCGAAUUAUGAGUCUUUGAGAUUGGCUCCCUUCCAUUUUUGCCAUCUCCGGUGGCUACCGGACGCUGCCGUGGUGUAUGAAAAACAGCAUACGCAAAAUGGUAGCUAGUGUUCUACUUGAAUGACACUGGUUGUGUUUCAGCUACCUUUCCAUUUUUCAUUUGCAUUCUGUAUGUUUAGCGACAUGCAUGUUUCUCAAUCCACCGAAAUUUACUUAUCGUGGCAUUAGCAUUUCGUGUCGUUUCUUUUGAUAUAGGAUGAUAAUUCAUAAUAAAAUGUAAAGCAGCAUAAAACAUUUGUAGCCUGGUUAAGGACUUGAAGUAAAAGAGUAGUAGAGACGUAGAGCGGUAAGCAUAUAGAAUGUCAUGCUGUAAACUUACUCCACUUCUAUAGAUGGUUUAGGUAGCCAGGUAGGCACCGUUCCUGCCAAGUUCUUCAAAAGCAAGGGUUGAAUAACUAUGAGCACCAAUCAAAUUGUAAGGAACUCGACCGAUUUGCAUAGCCCUCGCCCAACGGGAUACAUCAAGUAAGACCGUCAAAAUCGAUUAGGUAUUUUGGCAACCAAUUUCGUUGGGAACUAAUUAGUCUCCGAUCAAAGCCAAAUUAUAGGUGUUUGCAGAAGCUGGAUUUGGGUCAGAUUCCAAAACCCCAAGUUCAAACAUGACCCCAACACGAAAUUAGCCCAAUGAAAGGCAUAGAUUGGAGACCGGAUAUAUACAGAUCAAUCUCACACCGACCUAAUUAGCAGAAAAUCAGAUGAUAGAUCAAGCAGAUAGGCAUUCAUAGGACUGGAUAGGGGGAGCACCUGCUGGCUGCUUGCCUGCUCGUGUUCCUGCUAGGCUGCUACUCUCGGAGUCCCAGCUGCCGGCGCCGCUCACUCCAGAGUCCCGAGCGGCGGCGCCGCCCGUUUCGGUUUCCCUUGCGGACUCGCCGUCACCUGCAUAGGGCGCCGCCGCCGCCGUCGGCUGUUGUCGUGGGAGCCCGUCG